UACGUAGGGGGCAAGCGUUGUCCGGAUUUAUUGGGCGUAAAGAGCGUGUAGGCGGUUCGGUAGGUCCGUUGUGAAAACCCGAGGCUCAACCUCGAGACGCCGAUGGAAACCCCCGAACUAGAGUCCGGAAGAGGAGAAUGGAAUUCCUGGUGUAGCGGUGAAAUGCGCAGAUAUCAGGAAGAACACCCGUGGCUAAGGCGGUUCUCUAGUACGGUACUGACGCUGGGACGCGAAAGCGUGGGGAGCGAACAGG
RNAcentral lists this ribosomal RNA (253 nucleotides) under uncultured bacterium. RNAcentral's name for it is "partial 16S ribosomal RNA". It matches the Rfam family "Bacterial small subunit ribosomal RNA", at positions 524 to 776 of the family's 1533-position model. The record is from RNAcentral.